GCUGCUGAUGUGCCUGAGAAGCAACACCACGCUGCAUGGGCAUGUUUCCCGGGUUCAUUCCAGCACCCAUGCCAGCUUGAGAAGCAAGGUUGUAAGCAGACAUGCCCUGCGUAUAAUAGUACCGGACUGAUUAGAGCAACCUGCUGCUGAUGUGCCUGAGAAGCAACACCACGCUGCAUGGGCAUGUUUCCCGGGUUCAUUCCAGCACCCAUGCCAGCUUGAGAAGCAAGGUUGUAAGCAGACAUGCCCUGAGGCAUCCUUUGCAUGUUGACCAUUGGCAUCGGUCGGGGCACAGAUCUAUUCGGCAUUACAUGGGGACCUUGCAUGCCACCAGAUGCUGCAUUUCCUGAUGAUAC
RNAcentral lists this long non-coding RNA (356 nucleotides) under Nicotiana benthamiana. Its description in RNAcentral is "long non-coding RNA (NBEN_LNC035309)". The record is from RNAcentral. Lineage: Eukaryota; Viridiplantae; Streptophyta; Magnoliopsida; Solanales; Solanaceae.